UAGGGAAUCUUCCGCAAUGGACGAAAGUCUGACGGAGCAACGCCGCGUGAGUGAAGAAGGAUUUCGGUUCGUAAAACUCUGUUGUUAGGGAAGAAAAAAUGUAUAGUAACUAUAUACAAAAGAGACGGUACCUAACCAGAAAGCCACGGCUAACUACGUGCCAGCAGCCGCGGUAAUACGUAGGUGGCAAUCGUUGUCCGGAAUUAUUGGGCGUAAAGCGCGCGCAGGUGGUUUAGAAAGUCUGAUGUGAAAGCCCACGGCUCAACCGUGGAGGGUCAUUGGAAACUAAUAAACUUGAGUGCAGGAGAGAAAAGUGGAAUUCCUAGUGUAGCGGUGAAAUGCGUAGAGAUUAGGAGGAACACCGGUGGCGAAAGCGGCUUUUUGGCCUGCAACUGACACUGAGGCGCGAAAGCGUGGGGAGCAAACAGG
This 429-nucleotide ribosomal RNA is filed under the name Verrucomicrobiota bacterium. RNAcentral describes it as "Verrucomicrobia bacterium partial 16S ribosomal RNA". It matches the Rfam family "Bacterial small subunit ribosomal RNA", at positions 355 to 776 of the family's 1533-position model. Lineage: Bacteria; Pseudomonadati; Verrucomicrobiota. The record is from RNAcentral.